RNAcentral lists this long non-coding RNA (396 nucleotides) under Fukomys damarensis (Damara mole-rat). RNAcentral describes it as "lncRNA (ENSFDAG00000024251.1)". Lineage: Eukaryota; Metazoa; Chordata; Mammalia; Rodentia; Bathyergidae. The record is from RNAcentral.
GUGACAGCGUACUCAGGUGACCUAGAUUAGUCACACAAGCACCUUUUAUUGUCACGCCUCUGGUCCUACUAUGAAUGGCAGCUGGGGCUGGACAGGGAAAAGCCUUGAAUGCCACACACAGAGGCGGAAAGACCAGGCGGGAGCUUCUCAGGCUGCCCAAGGACCCAGGAAGUUGGAAGUCUGGGACAAACCCAUCUUGUGGAUUCUAGGAGAGCUGGUUGUUUGAAGGACACUGCUCUGGCCUGGUACCAUCAACGUUCAGACAACACAGGAAAGAAGUCACUGCCGGUGGCAGACACUGGGGAAGAAAUGGCUGUCUCCACAAGCACCCGCUCAAGGGGCUUCCGUGCUGUGGCCCGGUAGGUGGCUCGUGGCAGAUGAUCGGAACCUGCCUCA